This 208-nucleotide long non-coding RNA is filed under the name Gossypium barbadense (sea-island cotton). Its description in RNAcentral is "long non-coding RNA (GBAR_LNC011492)". The record is from RNAcentral. Lineage: Eukaryota; Viridiplantae; Streptophyta; Magnoliopsida; Malvales; Malvaceae.
AUUCUUCCUGGAAGAAAUCCCAAGUAACCCUUUCUUUUGGCACCACUGCUACCAAAGUCUUCCACCAGUGGUAGGCUGAAUCUCUCAAAAGUGAUACAGCACACUUUAAACACUCCUCGGGUGUACAUGAGAGCUCAUCAAAUACACGGGUAGAAUUUUCAAGCCAGAACUCCGCUUUCUCGGGAUCAUUAUCGAUCUUUGCUCUAAA